AUGAACGUUGGCGGUGUGGAUUAGGCAUGCAAGUCGCGCGAUAAAUUCCCGCAAGGGAAUGGAAAGCGGCGAAAGGGACAGUAAUGCGUAGAUACCUACCCUCGGGCUCGGGAUAGCUGCGGGAAACUGCAAUUAAUACCGAAUAAUAUCUCCGGAUCAAAGGUGUGAUUCCGCCGGAGGAUGGGUCUGCGUCCUAUUAGCUAGUUGGUGUGGUAACGGCGCACCAAGGCAAAGAUGGGUAGCAGGUGUGAGAGCACGACCUGCGUCACUGGGACUGAGACACUGCCCAGACACCUACGGGUGGCUGCAGUCGAGAAUCUUCGGCAAUGGGCGCAAGCCUGACCGAGCGACGCCGCGUGCGGGAUGAAGGCCUUCGGGUUGUAAACCGCUGUCAGAGAGGCGGAAAUAUAGGGGGGUACUCCCUUCUAUUUGACCUAUUCUCAGAGGAAGUGCGGGCUAAGUCCGU
This 466-nucleotide ribosomal RNA is filed under the name uncultured bacterium. RNAcentral describes it as "bacterial SSU rRNA". It matches the Rfam family "Bacterial small subunit ribosomal RNA", at positions 29 to 506 of the family's 1533-position model. The record is from RNAcentral.